RNAcentral lists this long non-coding RNA (265 nucleotides) under Jatropha curcas. Its description in RNAcentral is "long non-coding RNA (JCUR_LNC000283)". The record is from RNAcentral. Lineage: Eukaryota; Viridiplantae; Streptophyta; Magnoliopsida; Malpighiales; Euphorbiaceae.
ACAGAACUGAAUGAUUCUUGCAUCCAGGCCACAGUUCACUGUUAGCUGCACUUAGCAUGUCAAACAAUUGUUGUGCUGCUACAUUUGGCGAUUCCUCCAUAUUAUCCCAAUCACAUUGUACUCUACUCGCAUCGAUUACCAUAUCAUUGCAUUGAUUACCAUACAGAAAUUGAUAAGGCUGAACUUCUAAACUUACCGGAAUGGAGUGGCCUGACCCACUGGCAACUCGAGCUUCACCAUGAUGUAUCCAUUCGUAAUAAUUUUC